AGUGAGCGCUGGCGGUAGGCCUAACACAUGCAAGUCGAACGGCAGCACAGUAAGAGCUUGCUCUUACGGGUGGCGAGUGGCGGACGGGUGAGGAAUACAUCGGAAUCUACUUUUUCGUGGGGGAUAACGUAGGGAAACUUACGCUAAUACCGCAUACGACCUACGGGUGAAAGCAGGGGAUCUUCGGACCUUGCGCGAUUGAAUGAGCCGAUGUCGGGUUAGCUAGUUGGCGGGGUAAAGGCCCACCAAGGCGACGAUCCGUAGCUGGUCUGAGAGGAUGAACAGAGAGAGGAGGACUGAGACACGGACCAGACGACUAAGGGAGGCAGCAGUGGGGAAGGGGGGACAAUGGGGGCGAGCAUGAACCAACAAUCCCGAGUGUGAGAAGAAAGCCUUCAGGUUGUAAAGCACUUUUGGAAGGGAAAAAAAGGAGCGGGCUAAUACCCCGUGGAACUGACGGUACCUGGAAAAUAAGCACCGGCUAACUACGUG
RNAcentral lists this ribosomal RNA (492 nucleotides) under uncultured bacterium. RNAcentral's name for it is "partial 16S ribosomal RNA". It matches the Rfam family "Bacterial small subunit ribosomal RNA", at positions 30 to 507 of the family's 1533-position model. The record is from RNAcentral.